Molecule: long non-coding RNA, 2065 nt
Organism: Herpailurus yagouaroundi (jaguarundi)
Lineage: Eukaryota; Metazoa; Chordata; Mammalia; Carnivora; Felidae
Exons: 2
Source: RefSeq, a predicted model, not a curated record
CCAAGUUGGAUACGCAACCGACUGAGCCACCCGGGCGCCCCGUCCCUUCCUCUUUUCCACCCUAUGGUCCUCCUGCUUGAGCUCUCUCCACCGUCCCCUCUCACCCCACCCGUAAUGGCUUACCUCCCCAGGCUGUCAUCUCUCCGAUUUCAUGCCAUCUGUCACCCAAGCAGGUGCCUCUGUGAGGACUGUGUGUCCUGGGGUUAGCACGAUGCUGGUAUUCAGGACACAGAACAUGGAGCCACGUGGCUGCAUCCUCACAGGCUGUUCGCUGGGUGUCACAAGACCGAGGAGGUAAAAUAAACCUUUCACACCCCAAAUGUGACUGAAACCGGUAAGCAAACAAGACCAUGGUUUACAACGCCAGGCUUUCUUGGGUACGAUUAUCAGGUCUCUGGAGAGGAUGGGAGCCAGCCUGCCUGAGGGAUGGGCGAGAAUUGUGCCAACCUAAGUCUGGCUUGGAUGGUCAGAGCUGCACUGGUGUCCUUUGAGCUCAUUUCCUCCCCUCACCCGUGCACAAAGUUUUGGGGACCCUACAGACCUCUCUCUUGUCCUACAGGCUAUAGAAACACCGGGCUGCAGCAAAAUAAUCCUAGUUUGCAUCUAUCCUCCGAGGGUGAAGAACAAUCAGCAUGUAGUGAAUGUGAUGGUGAUGGGCCACCUGCGUAAUGGCCUGUCACAGUCGGACACGGGAGAGUGGAGAGUUCUGGGGACCCCAGAUCCCCAUUAGAGAUUGCCAUCUGGUAGUUUCGUUAAGUAUAGCACAUCCCUUGUGUCAGCAUUUAUAAGCUCACGGCCUCGUUGUGCACACUCAAUCUGGCACAAGAAGGAAUCCUUUGAUAAAGGAGGGGUGAUCAUCACAGGACGGACAAAGGAGGGCUGCGGAAUCAGAGUUUAGGGGCCCAGGGUGGCCCUGGCCAACUGAUAGGGCACUUGCCCUUGGUGGAAUGAAGUCAUCGGGUUAUUAUUGUUCCGUAACCAACUUCCUGCCUAUUUUUGGCUACCCACACAGAUAGCCACUGCACUAACCAGGUUAACCUGGUUUGACGUUUAUCAUCAUAUACAAGAGCCAACUGUCGUCCCGGCACAUCCACCUCAGUCCAUCGUGAGUUAGGUCUCCGUGUGAGUCUCAGCCUGGUAGUGACCCUCUGGGUACACGGACUGCAUCAGGUUCAUUCACUCCCUGAGUCCGGAUCACCUCAUGGACUGGGCAGCACAAGCUUCCAAACCACUCCUCUCCGACCUCUCCUGCUGCCUCCUCCUCAAACACGGGCGGCAUUACGGGACUAUCUCGUUCAGGAAUGCUUUACGUGUACCAAGCCAAACUCCUUGGCCGGGCUUUCCCGGUCUUUCGUAAUUUGGCCUCAUCAUGCUUUGUUUUUCAUGACAGCCCAAAAUGUUCUCUGUUGGUCUCCCAGGUUACUCAGCGUGGCUCUCCCACCGAUGGCUCCUGCCCAUUCUCCUCUGCCCGCAAGUCCUGCCGCUACACCUCUUCCGAACGCGGCUCCGGCCCUUUAGCCCAUCCCGUCCUCUCCAGCCGUCCCCAAAUCACCGGAGAGGACGGGAGACAAGGUCCUUGAAAUAAAGGCUUCCUGACUCUCCCGCAGCCAACUCCUGGUCCCACACAGGAAAGCAACUUCUUGCCGUACUCUCGUAUUGUCCUAGAUGUGGCUCACCUCUCUUCCAUACCCCUUUGGGCUCCUAAGGAAAGAAAGCCCCACUGGGAUGGGGGGGGGGCAGGCCACCCGAGUCUCCCUGGGCACCCCGCAGCAGGGCUGGUGGCAACCAAGCGCCGAGUCUCGCCGCCUGCCAUGGGCUUCUCCCAAUUCGCUUCUCCCUCGAACAGGGCCACCUCUGACUCUCAAGACCUCAGCAGAGAGCGGGGGGUGGGUGAAACCCAAAGAAGACUGGUGUCUCGAGGAAAACCUCGAGAAAGAAGAGACCAGACACUGAGCAGGGAUGUGUGUGAAAUACUGGUUUUUAUUGGUUGGCACAAGAUUACAACCUACAAUUCCAAUGCCCUUCCCUCCCACACAGCUCAAAUGGAAGGAAACUGAUUGACACA